GAGGCAGCAGUGGGGAAUAUUGCACAAUGGGCGCAAGCCUGAUGCAGCCAUGCCGCGUGUAUGAAGAAGGCCUUCGGGUUGUAAAGUACUUUCAGUCGUGAGGAAGGUGUUAAGGUUAAUAACCUUAGCAAUUGACGUUAGCGACAGAAGAAGCACCGGCUAACUCCGUGCCAGCAGCCGCGGUAAUACGGAGGGUGCGAGCGUUAAUCGGAAUUACUGGGCGUAAAGGGCACGCAGGCGGUUAAUUAAGUUGGAUGUGAAAUCCCCGGGCUUAACCUGGGAAUGGCAUUCAAGACUGGUUAGCUAGAGUCUUGUAGAGGGGGUAGAAUUCCAUGUGUAGCGGUGAAAUGCGUAGAGAUGUGGAGGAAUACCGGUGGCGAAGGCGGCCCCUGGGACAAAGGCUGACGCUCAUGUGCGAAAGCGUGGGGAGCAAACAGGAUUAGAUACC
RNAcentral lists this ribosomal RNA (448 nucleotides) under uncultured bacterium. Its description in RNAcentral is "bacterial SSU rRNA". It matches the Rfam family "Bacterial small subunit ribosomal RNA", at positions 345 to 786 of the family's 1533-position model. The record is from RNAcentral.